AGACCCGAAACCCGGUGAUCUAGCCAUGGGCAGGUUGAAGGUUGGGUAACACUAACUGGAGGACCGAACCGACUAAUGUUGAAAAAUUAGCGGAUGACCUGUGGCUGGGGGUGAAAGGCCAAUCAAACCGGGAGAUAGCUGGUUCUCCCCGAAAGCUAUUUAGGUAGCGCCUCGUGAAUUCAUCUCCGGGGGUAGAGCACUGUUUCGGCUAGGGGGCCAUCCCGGCUUACCAACCCGAUGCAAACUGCGAAUACCGGAGAAUGUUAUCACGGGAGACACACGGCGGGUGCUAACGUCCGUCGUGAAGAGGGAAACAACCCAGACCGCCAGCUAAGGUCCCAAAGUCAUGGUUAAGUGGGAAACGAUGUGGGAAGGCCCAGACAGCCAGGAUGUUGGCUUAGAAGCAGCCAUCAUUUAAAGAAAGCGUAAUAGCUCACUGGUCGAGUCGGCCUGCGCGGAAGAUGUAACGGGGCUAAACCAUGCACCGAAGCUGCGGCAGCGACACUCAGGUGUUGUUGGGUAGGGGAGCGUUCUGUAAGCCUGUGAAGGUGGCCUGUGAGGGUUGCUGGAGGUAUCAGAAGUGCGAAUGCUGACAUAAGUAACGAUAAAGCGGGUGAAAAGCCCGCUCGCCGGAAGACCAAGGGUUCCUGUCCAA
RNAcentral lists this ribosomal RNA (655 nucleotides) under Salmonella enterica subsp. enterica serovar Oranienburg. RNAcentral describes it as "partial 23S ribosomal RNA". It matches the Rfam family "Bacterial large subunit ribosomal RNA", at positions 711 to 1362 of the family's 2925-position model. Lineage: Bacteria; Pseudomonadati; Pseudomonadota; Gammaproteobacteria; Enterobacterales; Enterobacteriaceae. The record is from RNAcentral.